Molecule: long non-coding RNA, 328 nt
Filed under: Glycine max (soybean)
Lineage: Eukaryota; Viridiplantae; Streptophyta; Magnoliopsida; Fabales; Fabaceae
Description: long non-coding RNA (GMAX_LNC002256)
Source: RNAcentral
UUUUUUUAAAAAAUGAAGUAUAUAAAAAUAAAAUCAUGCCUAUAUAUAUUUGGAUAGGUUUAAAAAGGACUUGCCACUAGCAAAACAGUACAUUUGAACAAAACCUAUGCAGAGAGGAAUUGAUGACAAAAUUAACCAAAAUGAAUCUGAUAGAAUUUGAGGGAGAAGGUGCCAUUUUCAUUUGGUAGAUAUUGGAAAAGACAAACUAUCUCUUAGAAUCGAUAUCAAGUUUAAAAAUUAUGUAACAUUACUAACUUGUAUAGUGAAGGACAUGAAAGUUUUUGCUGCAUGGUAAAGUAGGUUUGUCCUUUUCAUAUAAAAUUAGCUU